Molecule: ribosomal RNA, 813 nt
Filed under: uncultured bacterium
Lineage: Bacteria
Description: bacterial SSU rRNA
Rfam family: Bacterial small subunit ribosomal RNA
Source: RNAcentral
CCCUUAGAGUUUGAUCCUGGCUCAGAGCGAACGCUAGCGGGCGGCUUAACACAUGCAAGUCGAGCGGGGGAGUUCGGUCCUCAGCGGCGGACGGGUGAGUAACACGUAGGAAUCUGCCUUUUGGUGGGGGAUAGCCGGGGGAAACCCCGAUUAAUACCGCAUAUGGCCCAUGGGUCAAAGCCGUAAGGCGCCAGAAGAUGAGCCUGCGUCCGAUUAUUUAGUCCUUGUUGGUGGGGUAACGGCCUACCAAGGGUACGAUCGGUAGCUGGUCUGAGAGGACGAUCAGCCACACUGGAACUGAGACACGGUCCAGACUCCUACGGGAGGCAGCAGUGGGGAAUAUUGCGCAAUGGGCGAAAGCCUGACGCAGCCAGCCCGCGUGUGUGAUGAAGGCCUUCGGGUCGUAAAGCACUGUCGUAGGGGAAGAAUCAAUGACGGUACCCUACAAGAAAGCACCGGCUAACCCCGUGCCAGCAGCCGCGGUAAUACGGGGGGUGCAAGCGUUGCUCGGAAUCACUGGGCGUAAAGCGUCCGCAGGUGGGUGUGUGUGUCGGAUGUGAAAGCCCAGGGCUCAACCCUGGAACUGCAUUCGAAACUGCACAUCUUGAGUACGGGAGAGGGAAGCAGAAUUCCUGGUGUAGAGGUGAAAUUCGUAGAUAUCAGGAGGAAUACCUGUGGCGAAAGCGGCUUCCUGGUCCGAUACUGACACUCAUGGACGAAAGCGCGGGGAGCAAACAGGAUUAGAUACCCUGGUAGUCCGCGCCGUAAACGAUGGAUGCUAGUUGAUGGGUCUUUUACCGACUCAUUGACGUC